GUGCACACACGGGGCAGUGCUGAUAUGCCAGUCACCUGCCACCUCGGCCGCCUCCGGACCUUGGGCACCAAAAAGCACUUUUUAAAAAUAUACUUUAAGUUAUGGGAUACAUGUGCAGAACGUGCAGGUUUGUUACAUAGGUAUACACGUGCCAUGGUGGUUUGCUGCACCCAUCAACCCGUCAUCUACAUCAGGCCUGCUGGAGUUUGCUGGAGGUCCAUUCCAGACCCUGUUUGCCUGGGUAUCACCAGCGGAGGCUGCAGAACAGCAAAGAUUGCUGCCUGUUCCUUCCUCUGGAAACUUCGUUCCAGAAGGGCACCUGCCAGAUACCAGCCAGAGCUCUCCUGUAUGAGCAGGAGGAAGCAUUCCCAUGUGAAAGAUGAGCUCCCUAUAAAAGCAACGCUCUUAUCAUCGAGAACAGAAAGUUGAAGCCAAGAGAGAGCUCCACAAGCUGACCUUGUUAAACUAACCCUUAUCUUCUUAGUCGCUUCUUUACCCAAUUAACUACCCUAGCCGAAGCCCCUUUGCCUUAUUACAUUUUGCAACAGUGUUCGUUGUCCAAUUC
This is a long non-coding RNA of Homo sapiens (human), 565 nucleotides long. The record is from Ensembl. Lineage: Eukaryota; Metazoa; Chordata; Mammalia; Primates; Hominidae.